This is a non-coding RNA of Kogia breviceps (pygmy sperm whale), 3666 nucleotides long. The record is from RefSeq and is a predicted model, not a curated record. Lineage: Eukaryota; Metazoa; Chordata; Mammalia; Artiodactyla; Physeteridae.
CCUCAGGCGCAGAGUGAGUAGCCACCGCCAGUCAGGUGCCUGAGGGACCGUCUAGACCCCGACGUCUCCCGAGAGGCGAGCGGCGCGGCGAGCGGGGCUUCUGUCAGCGCGGCGCCGCGAGCGCGGGGACAUGAACGGCUUCACGCCCGAGGACAUGAGCCGCGGCGGGGACGCGGCCGCCGCCGUGGCCGCCGUGGUCGCCGCUGCCGCCGCCGCCGCCUCAGCCGGGAACGGGGCCGGAGCGGGCGCCGGGGCCGAGGUGCCGGGCGCCGGUGGGGUCUCGGCGGCGGGGCCCCCGGGAGCGGCCGGGCCGGGCCCGGGGCAGCUGUGCUGUCUGCGCGAGGACGGCGAGCGGUGCGGCCGGGCGGCGGGCAACGCCAGCUUUAGCAAGAGGAUCCAGAAGAGCAUCUCCCAGAAGAAGGUGAAGAUCGAGCUGGAUAAAAGCGCAAGGCAUCUUUAUAUUUGUGAUUAUCAUAAAAACUUAAUUCAGAGCGUUCGAAACAGAAGAAAGAGAAAAGGGAGUGAUGAUGAUGGAGGAGAUUCACCUGUUCAAGAUAUUGAUACUCCAGAGGUUGAUUUAUACCAAUUACAGGUGAAUACACUUAGGAGAUACAAAAGACACUUCAAACUCCCAACCAGACCAGGACUUAAUAAAGCCCAGCUUGUGGAGAUAGUUGGUUGCCACUUUAGGUCAAUUCCAGUGAAUGAAAAAGACACCUUAACAUAUUUCAUCUACUCAGUGAAGAAUGACAAGAACAAGUCAGAUCUCAAGGUUGAUAGUGGUGUUCACUAGGAGAGAUGGAAUUGAGAGAUUAGUACCUAAUCCCAGCAAACAAAAAUAUUCAAGGAGUCCGUAUGGAUUAUGAUGAGGAAAAGAAAAAUUUUAUCAAGAAGAGAUGAACUAUUAGUGAAUAAAGUACAAAGAGUGGGAGGACUUUUGCCACAAGAGCAGCAAAGACCAAGAAGGCUUAAAUCCUUCUGGAGUUGCUGAGGGUAGGGUGUGGAGAGAAGCAGCAGCCAGUUUCAACCUUUGCAGGCUCCUCCUAGGAGAGAAGGAGGACCUGUUUUAUUGACACUUAGGAAAACUUACUCCACCAAGGAGCCUCCAGUGAAGCCCUUGAGGAGACAGCAUUAUUAAUCACCAAGGGGCUGUCACCUACGAUGUCAAGCUGAUGCUGCUGCAGCUGUAGGAAGGGACCUGCUUUCCAGAGGCUCUCGUACUGGAAUUAGGAUGCACUUGGGAACUGGCAGGAUGCCAGAGAGGCAGCUGUGGCUGUAACGGGGCUCAUGGCGAGGAUCUUGUUGCUUAGAAACUUUUCAUCAGAAGAGCAAACACAUGACCUCCUUUACCUGGGCACGGACACUGGAGAAGCAGCAAGACGGAACAAGACAUUGACCCCCUAAAUCUUCUUGCCUUGUUCCCCGAAUACUCUCAAUUAUGCCAGUACAGGUAGCCUGUUCUUAUUCCUGUUUCACCGACGGACAAGAAUUCUGACCCCAAGAGAAUGAAAAUAUUCUGAGGAGCAAGCUUGAAGGUAACUAAGUAAAUUCAACCUAUUCCAACUGUUAUUUUUGGUUUGCAUUUGCCAGGUGAAUUGCCAUGACACGUGCAGUAAUGAUUCCUUAUCUUUACAUUUGCAUAUUGUUUGUUGUUAAAAAAGUAGGAUCCUUGUUUGAAAAAGGUGAGGAAAUUGUUGGACUUCACCCUUUUGUUUUUGUUCUGCAGGAAUUAUUUUGUUCUUUGUGUGUAUGUUUACAUUUGUCUUGCAUAUAAGUAUGCCGGCUGUGAGAUCUCUGUCUGGAUGUAUGUAUGUUUCAUUAUGAUUAGGUGUCUUUGUCUUUGGAUAGUAUUGCUGAGGUUAACUUGUAAAUGAGCUCUAUUUAAUAGACUUAAAAGUAAACGCUUACAAAUUAAAUACUACUGUUUAGAAAACAGGCUAAAAUGAACUUCAGGUCCUCAUGAUCUGGGAAAUAUUCAGUAUGGAAUUGAUAUCUGGUAUUGAAGCUAGCUUAAGCUUGUUGGUUUGCCUAAUGCAGACAUGUCUUUUAGAAAAUUCAGACUAUUUAGGAUAAAUCUUAUAACCAGCAAUAGAAAUUUCUAGUAAGCGUUUCCAAAAAGUAAGUAUAAAUUGUGAGAGAUGCCUUUAACAUUACUUACUUAGGAUGCUUUUAAAUGCUUGUAAUAGAAAACACAACUAACAGUAUCUUAAACAAUUAGGACUAAUUCCUAAUGGUUCCAGCACAGAUUCAGUCAGUGAAUCAGUGACAUCAAGGAUCCAGGUUCUUGCCAUAUUUUCCUCGGCCAUUCUUACAUGUCAGUUUUGUCCUCAGAUUUGUUCCCUCAUGAUCUUAAGACAGCUUCCACGGCACCAGUUCUCAUCCAACAAUGACCAGAUUCAGGAAAGUAUGAACCUUUUGUCCCUUUCAAGAGCAAAGGAAACCCAAAAGUUCCCUUAUUUGCCUUCACAGCUCCUAAGCAAGGUUGCACCUGUAUUAAAUCAAAUACUGCCAAGAAGAAAAGGAAUUACACCAGGAUUGCCUUAACCUAAUCCUCAUUCACCGACUGGGGCUAAGGAGGGACCAAUGAAAAUCACGGGCCUAAUAACUACACAGUAUUGGGGCUCUCUUGGCAAGGAGGUAUGAAGGGAAUUGUUGGUGUGGUCAAUACAGACAUGUCUUUUAUUGUGCCUGGGUUUACUGAGGGUGACUGGGUUUAUGUUGUUUCUAUUGCACAGUUUGUCAACAGAAAAAAACUGGUAUGAUGAAAUUCUUAUAAGUAAAUUAGAUGCAAAUAGGGUGAGAGCUUUGGGGUGACCUCUUUAGAAAUGGCUAUGAUUUGGGAAUGUCUACUUAAGGGUGGUCCCUCCAGAUAUUUGGUAACUUAAAUUUACUUAAAUUUUAGAGUAGUGCUAGUUUGGGUUGGAUGAUGGGGGAUUACUGAAUAGCUAGGUCAUUCCCAGGCAGGGUACUGAAACAUUAAGUACUGAACAUAGAAGCUAAAGGUAAAGGUGUUUGGGACUAUAUUUGGUGCCACACUGAGAUAUUUUCUAUAAAAAGCAGAUGUUUUUAAAAAUUAUUAUUGUUGUUUGCCAACCUACAGAAUGCUAAAGGACAGUUAAUAAUUGAGUGCUUCUUGGUUUUCACUAGAAAUUAAGGGUUUUUUUUAAGAGCUUUGGAUUCAAAUUUAAAUAUGUAAUUAAAGCUACUAAAAUAAUAAAGGAAACAUUUCAGUAUACAGCAGGAAAGUAGGAUAUGUUUUUUUUAAAGGGAGUUUUUUUACACAUGGUUGGGCUGAGAUUAGGUUAAACUUAAUUAAGUAAAUGGAUUUUAUUAUUAAAAAUAGGCUGGUGCAAGACUAGAUUUGGUCCCUCUCCACUAAGGGAACAAGUUUACUUAGAAUGCUGCUUUUGGUAACAGAUUAUGUGAACUUCCUUGCCUUUUAAGUGAUCUAUAUUUGCUUCUGAGAUCUUUUCUCACUUUGGUUAAGAAACAAGUAUUGUCUUACAGUGACCUAUAAUCUUACUUGACCAAGUGUUUUGAAAGUUUUUGACGAACUUCCCAAAUAUCAAAUUUUAAUUAAAAUUCUUUUGCCCUCCAGCUAACUUUGGGAUGCUUUAGAGGGCCCUUGACGCAUCUUAGAGAGAAGUAUUUAACUUGUAUUAUUUG